GCAGCCAGGCACCCUCCUACAGCCCUGGAACCAAGAAGGACUGAAAACCAUUUAGACUUCCUGCCAGACUCAUAUCUCUUCCUCUCUUUGAACUUCUGUUGUUUUUGUAUUUUUUUCAUUUAGAGACCAGUUUUCUCUAUUUCUCUCUCUGCGUGAUAAACAGAAGCUAACCAGCCCACAAUUCAGACACUUAGACCUCCUCCAGUCAAGAGACAAGUUCAGAUACUGUCCUGAGUCCCCUGAAGAAAGGAUGCUACUGGCUUAGCUUGGGUCAAGUGUUUGUUCGUGGUCUAAUAAUACGGUCACUGGGGGAGAAUCCCAUCCUCCUCUCGCCCCUGUUGUGACUGGGACAAGCAGUCACCCAAGAGAAGUCUCCAGCAGCCUGCAGAAGUUUCUCCAGGAUGGUCUGAACCUUCCUGACACCAUCUCUCCUGGCCUGACGGACGUCAGCUCGUCCUUCGGGGUCUACCGAAUCCAGCGCCAGCAGCUCUUUGGUCAAAUACUCUUCUAUCAUCAGGUUUGUUUUCAGGUUGGGGAACAGGUGAAGAUUCUCGAUGAGUCAUGGGCUGCUGAAAAGAGGCAAGGACACAAAGAUAUUUUUAAUACCCGAUUGAGAGUCCCAGGCGGUUGUCUGUGGCGCGCACUACUGACUAGAAAGAAAGCUGGGGAAUGGCUUUAACAACAGCAGAGAUUUUCAAAGUCAACCACAUACAGUUACAGAAUGAAAACAUUCUGAUCACGUACGGGACCGAACCACUCAUUUCCAUUUGUCACCCUGGACUGUGCGUCUGUUACCACUCACUGAACUUUUCUGUAGAUGGUAUUCUUAGGGCAACAAAAACAAAACCGAUAGUUUCCAAAAAUGAACACUUGCUCACCGAAACCUCGCGGACUGCCGAGCUAGCUUAGCUCCAAGCAAAGUCCUGCGUGACUCAGAAUCUUGGCGGGGCAGCCGCGGGGGAGUAACUGCCACAACCUCUCACUGCCGCCAGAGGGACCGUCUCUGUUCCGGGGAGGACAGUCCCACAUCCUGUUUCGGAAAAGGUAUAAUCUACUCUUUUUAAAAAUCUAUGACAGCCUCAUGGUUUCUGCCCAGACUGAUGUAUUUUUCUGAGAAUAAACAUGAUGCCCAAAAUAGUUAGCUCUGGGAGGAUGUCGCGGGGCUCCUCUGCGCCAACACUCGGCCAUGCGUCCCCGCAGCUGACUGCUGGCUACACGGGCUGAGAUGCUUUUUAAGGUAACUACAAGUGGUAGUUUCUAGAAUGAGCUGUACUUAAAACAAAUAUCUUGGUUCUCCCAGCAUUUCAGUGAACAUCUCACCCCCCCUUUCCUGAUUGAAGUGGAGUGGACAGACGACACUGUUAGUUUCAGGAGCACAACCUGGUGACCCGACAGUUCUACACGUCCCGCAGUGCUCACCUGAGUAAGCACAAUCACCGUCCGUUCUCUUGAUACUGACCGUAUUCCCUACACCUCACUUCAUCCCUGAGACUUUGUGACUGGAAGUCUGUACCUCCUAAUCCCCUUCAUAUUCUGCCCAUCCCCCAUGUGCUUCCCCACUGGCAACCAUCAGUUUAUCCUCUGGAUUUAAGGGUCUGCUUGGGGUGUUUUGGUUUACUCUUUUGUUUUGUUUUUUAGAUUCCACGUAUGAGUGAAAUCUACGGUAUUUCUCUUUUACCAACUAUUCACUUCACCUGAUACCCUCUAGGUCUAUCCAUGUUGUUACAAAUGGCAAGAGUUCAUUCU
Molecule: long non-coding RNA, 1746 nt
Organism: Enhydra lutris kenyoni (northern sea otter)
Lineage: Eukaryota; Metazoa; Chordata; Mammalia; Carnivora; Mustelidae
Exons: 3
Source: RefSeq, a predicted model, not a curated record